AUCACUUGCAUAGAAACGGAGUACCAUGUAGCAUGGCGUACACUACCCCCCAACGUUCGGACCAGCUUGUGGUUUCGAUCUAAAAAGCAAAAAAAAAAGCUUUCAUGAAACAGGAGACACUCUCUGGAUAUAGCUGUCCCGUUUAAACAGGCCUUAAGCAAAGACUCUAUAGAGUCUUUGCCUUAAGGCAUCAAAAUAAUUUCCCCAUACUCCUUCAAAUAUUGACGUUGUGCAACACUUUUUUAAACUUUCAUUCUACCUUCGGGAAUAUUCCUUUGCACAGCUGUCAAGGAAAUCAUUGGAAACGUCGUGAUCGACAUAGCGAAAUGGCGACUAAAAAGAGCGACAUGCCAGCUGGUGCUGAGUUGCCGCCAAAGCCGGAGCCGGAGCCAGGGAGCAGCGAUGGAGCAGGAGAAACGUGCCCAAUUUGCUUGGGUCCGAAAGUGAAUCCUAUGGCAUUGCCAUGCACUCACUCGUUCUGUAUGAUCUGCUUGGAGUUUCUGGCUGUAAAUACAUUUUUGCGCGAUCUGGGUGAUGGGCUAUUGGAAAUGCAGCGUUGUCCGGUGUGCCGCAACUGGUUUUGCAUUUCGCAAACAUUUGCCAAUUUCCAGUCAUAAUUCUGAAGGAUGUGAAUACAAUACGUACCUGGCAUACCUGUAUCCUGAAAUUAUACACAAAACCAAAAUAAAUUCCCAUUUAAAUAA
This is a long non-coding RNA of Drosophila obscura, 704 nucleotides long. RefSeq lists it as uncharacterized. Lineage: Eukaryota; Metazoa; Arthropoda; Insecta; Diptera; Drosophilidae. The transcript has 2 exons. The record is from RefSeq and is a predicted model, not a curated record.